UGUUGCAUAGAGAGCGGCUGAUGUUUUAAUCAUGGCCGCAGGGCUCAUUGUGAUGUGCAGCCACCUCUGGGGUCUCUAAUUGUCUCAGGCCAGGCUGGCUCUGCUGAUCACCCUACGUCUGGAAUGGCUAAUGACUCGCAGUGAGAGUCUAAUCAGGAGGAUCCCCAGGAAACCCAAACAACGCCACGUGUCCAGCCAGAGGACGGAUCGGGUUUCCUUUCGCCUCCAGCUCCGGCACGGACCCUCCUGGUUUGCCUGAAAGUGAUUCCUGCCGCCUCAGAUCAGCGGAAAGAUGUGAGAGUUUGACUGACAGGCGAGCUCUGCGUCCCUUUAAAUCGAGCCAGGCCUGAAAAUGGAGAUCUUACAAGGUGGAGGUAGAGGCAAACCCGAGCCCACACCUCUGGACAGCAGGAUAGCAUCCAUCCUCGGGACGGCCAGCGGGUGUGGAAUCAUGUCAGAGAAGG
Long non-coding RNA from Amphiprion ocellaris (clown anemonefish), 464 nucleotides. NCBI's taxonomy places the organism in Eukaryota, Metazoa, Chordata, Actinopteri, Pomacentridae. The record is from Ensembl.